This 499-nucleotide long non-coding RNA is filed under the name Equus asinus (donkey). RNAcentral describes it as "lncRNA (ENSEASG00005027865.1)". The record is from RNAcentral. Lineage: Eukaryota; Metazoa; Chordata; Mammalia; Perissodactyla; Equidae.
ACAGUUGUUCCCAGUGUUUUGGGGACCCAAGAGGAGACGAGCCAUGGGAGUGCCAGAUUGAAACCUGCAUUGGAGAAGAAGUCUUGUUUGUCUUCAUUGCUAUAGCUCCAAGAGGAAAAUUUGAAAAUGGAAGAUCCUCAAUAUAUUAGCCCUGUGCUAACAUCUGCUGCCGAUCCUCUUCUUUUUGCUGAGGAAGACUGGCCCUGAGCUAACAUCCAUGCCCAUCUUCCUCUACUUUAUAUGUGGGAUGCCUACCACAGUAUGGCUUGCCAAGCGGUGCCGUGUCCACACCCAGGAUCCGAACCAGUGAAACCCAGGCCACCAAAGCGGAACUUGCAAACUUUAACUGCUGUGCCACCGGGCUGGCCCCUAUUGUCAUCUUUUAUUGUCAUGUAAAAAAUAGCUUUAUUUCUUUUUGUGACUGUAAAAACUAAUAUAGCCAUUAUGAAAAAAAAAGUCAAAUAAUACAGAAAAUAUGGAGAAGAGAACACAGCCUAAA